AAAAGGCAGCUCGAUGCACUAAGCUCCCGCAAUGAAGGGGUCGGUGCGAUCAUUUCAAAUGUCGUAAUCUAUGUCUGUCGCGUUUUGAGCAUCGAAACGUCUGAUCAGAUGUCCAUGUUCAUCGUAUAGAUCGAGGUUCUUGCAAGGUGCUCAAAUGUCGUAAUCUAUGUCUGUCGCGUUUUGAGCAUCAGAACGUCUGAUCAGAUGUCCUUGUUCAUCGUAGAGAUCGAGGUUCUUGCAAGGUGCAGGGAAGAUGGUGCCAAUUACGCGACCUUGAACGAAAGCACAUUGGAAUAUAUGUUUCUUCUUGUACGUUAACCCAACCGACAUAUCUCUGAAUGUAACGUUCCUUACCCAGAUUUCUUCACUACCGUGGAUUUGAACAGGCACGC
This 392-nucleotide long non-coding RNA is filed under the name Capsicum annuum. Its description in RNAcentral is "long non-coding RNA (CANN_LNC013413)". The record is from RNAcentral. Lineage: Eukaryota; Viridiplantae; Streptophyta; Magnoliopsida; Solanales; Solanaceae.